CUUCGGCGAUAUGUGGCCAAGAAGCUGAAAGAACAAGCAAAGGCACUGGACAUCAGCCUCAGCUCUGGAGAGGAAGAUGAAGGUAAUGAGGAGGACUCAACAGCUGGAACCACAGAGCAGCCCUCUAAGGAGGAGGAGGAGGAGGAACAACUGAACCAGACCUUGGCAGAAAUGAAGGCCCAGGAGGUGGCGGAAUUGAAGAGGAAGAAAAAGAAGCUGUUGCGUGAGCAGAGAAAGCAGCGGGAGCGUGUGGAGCUGAAGAUGGAUCUGCCUGGGGUUUCCAUUGCAGAUGAGGGGGAGACUGGCAUGUUCUCCUUGCGCACCAUCCGGGGUCAGCAGGUGAGGCGGCAUUGCGGGUGCAGGUUUAGGAGACAGAAGGAUCUGUUUGGGUGUUUGGAGGUGGGGGGUGUUGAACGUCUUUUUAAAUUGCUGAACGAUAGGCUGUGGUUGCUGUCUUCACCACAGGGUGCCUUGGUGAGUAUAAGGCCACAAAGAAACAUAAACCAAAAAGGAUGAGUUAGGUAGGUAGAUGAAUGUGAUAGAUUUAUUCUUUUUUUUUUUUUUUUUUUGAGAU
RNAcentral lists this small RNA (574 nucleotides) under Pongo abelii (Sumatran orangutan). Its description in RNAcentral is "retained intron". Lineage: Eukaryota; Metazoa; Chordata; Mammalia; Primates; Hominidae. The record is from RNAcentral.